This is a long non-coding RNA of Puntigrus tetrazona (Sumatra barb), 393 nucleotides long. RefSeq lists it as uncharacterized. The record is from RefSeq and is a predicted model, not a curated record. Lineage: Eukaryota; Metazoa; Chordata; Actinopteri; Cypriniformes; Cyprinidae. The transcript is spliced from 3 exons.
AAUUUCCAUGACAUUUCCACCUGCACACACAUUGUUUAGUGACAGCUUGUCCCGAUUAUAUCUCAUUAGUCAUCGGGAAGCGUGUCUGGAGAGGCUGCAGGUCAGUGGAUGUCAUGACUUUGGAAUGAAGUUCAGUGGGGAAUGAUCCCUGUCAUCAGACCAGCUGCAGGGCUCGGACAAGUGUUUUUCAGCCCCUUGCCAUCAAUAGAGGGCAGUACUGAGCAGUACUGUGUGAAGUCUCCUGCUAAGUGGUUCUUGACGGACAGAUCCAUCUGAUAUGUCCUGUUAAGUCAAGCUGUCUCAGGUCCAGGUAUGCUGAUGAUGGUCCCUCCCAAAAAUACCAUGACCCCGACACCCCUCGUGAAGGUAUGUGCCUACAGGACAUCACUCUCC